This 17025-nucleotide long non-coding RNA is filed under the name Cinara cedri. Lineage: Eukaryota; Metazoa; Arthropoda; Insecta; Hemiptera; Aphididae. The record is from RNAcentral.
UAUGCAGACUACAAACUAAAUAUUUUAAAUGUAAGUAAUCAUAUUAAACAUAAUUAAAAACCAAUAAGUCGUGUAACAUAUCAUAAUUUUUGUUUAGUGCAACAAUGUUUCCGAACCCGUGGGUUACUCCAGUUCCACCUCCUGUGGUGACCAAAUCGGUUGUUUACAAAAACAAUACUCCAACUACCUAUCCAUAUUAUGUUACGCCAAAUGCCUUACAAAAUAUUGUUGUAAGUUUAUAUAGCAUUAAAUUAAGAAAUAAAUACUAUCAUCCGUAUAUUUGUUUAUGCAAUAUAUUUCUGUUAUCAUAUAUUGAAAAUAAAAGCAUUGUAUAUUAGAUUAUUACUAAUAUUUAUAAUUUGAAUUAAUUACAUGAUGUAGUUAAUUUAAAUAUGUUUAAUACACAUUUAAAUCAAUAAUUAAAUUACUAUCCAAGAAAGUUGUUUACUUGAGUAGAUAUGGAGAUGUUUUAAUAGGACCAUACAGCAUAUUUUAUAGACAAAUAUUUUAUUACUUCCCUAUAUUUUUCAGAUGAACCCACAAAAUAGUUUAUCAUUGAAUGCAACAUCAGUCGUAAGUAAUUUCUGUAAGAUAAACAUUAGUAUAAGUUACAUUUUUAGACAAAUGAAAAAUCUUUAUACAAAAUUGUUUUUUCUGAAAGAAAAAGACACUUUGUAUACAAUUAUUGUUAACUCUAAUAGUCUAAUAGUCUAGUACAAAAAAAUGUGAAAAACUGCUUACAUAAUUAAAUCCAUGUUAAACGUUUUAAUUUGGAUAUUUUUGAAUUUUAAAGUAUUCAUGACUUAUUCAAAUUCAUUAAAAAAAUUAAUUUAACUAAAUAAUUAUUCAUCUAUAUUCUGUUUAGUUAGUAAGAAAAAACAAUUUAAGUUAUGGAAGCAGAAUAGGAACAGAGAUGAUUAGGUAGAGUACAAAAGACUACAAGAAAGUUAAGAAGGUGGCAAGCAAACCGAAGUUAAAAAAUACUAGGAACAAAGAAAGGUGAAAAAAAAGUUUAUCGAUUAAUCGAGAUUAGAAAAAAACUGUCCAAGGAUUUCCAUAAUGUAUGAGAAAGACAAAAAAAAAAAUAAAUAGAUGUGAUUGAGAAUGAUGUAUGGGGGAUCUUGUCUAAUGGAAGUUUAAGAUAGCGGUGGCUGACCCUAAUUAGUUAGGGUGAAGGUGAAGCAGAAAAAAAAAAUUAUUCAGAAUAAGAUUUAACUGCUUUUGUAAAUGUAAACUCAGCUGUUGAACAAGUCUAGACUCUCUAAUUGCAUUCUGUUGUCUUUGCUGUUGACUUUGUACUUACAAGGAGCAAGGAUGGAAGGGGAUUAGUUUGGAAGUAAAGUUUUUUUUUAUCUAAGCCGUUCAGUAUUAACCUGAAUAGAGUAAAUUAAUAUUGAAUUAUCUUUUAACUUGAAUAAUUAAGACUUAAACUUGUUUGUUAGAAUUAUUAUCUAUUUUUAAUACCUAAUUGAAGUUAAUUUUCAAUAAAAAAAAAAAUGUAAUUCAAAUAUAAAUAUUUGUACAAUAUUUUUAAUCCUCUUCCUUAUGAAUAAUAUAAAAAAAAAAAAAAACAUAAUUUGAUUAUCCUCGGAGAUAUUCAAAGGGAGUGUAUCUUAGGACAACCUGUACACAGAUAAAUUGUUAUAUAUUUUUAUGGCAGUUUUUUUAUGCUUAUAUUUUAAAUAAUCUAAACACGCUAAAAUGAAAAAUCCACAUUAAAAGUGUAGUAUUUAAUGUGUAACAUUUCAAAAAUAUUAUUGUUUAGUUAAAAGUUCAAUACUUACCAAUAUAUUUAAUUAAUAAUUUCCUUAUUUAUUAUAAAGUAACUAUCUAUUUUAGAUGAACCAGUCACUUCAACCAAAUGCUAUCGAUCCAGCUGUAAGUUUAACAGAAUAUAAUAUUUUAUAAUAAUAGGUAUAGUGUAUCAAUUUUAAAAAAUGUAUUUAUUUAUUUUAGUUGGUUCAAAAAUGGCAAGAAUGGAAGCAAUGGGAAGCAUGGCAACAACAAUUUCAACAAUGGCAACAACAGGUUUAUUUAAAUUAUAUGUCUAAAAAAUAUGAAAUAUUGAAUUGUUUUCAACAUUGAUCACUUGUACUACUAAUAAUUCAUAAGCAUCGUUUAAAAAAAUAUGAAUUAAAAUUAACUUUUAAUUUAAUUAUUAGAUAAAUAAAUUAGUUAUUUCAAAAAAAUUAUCAUUAUCUAGAAACGGGCAUGCUCAAGAAGUGAUCUUUCCCAGACUUGUUAAAUUAAAGUAAAUUAUUUUUCUGAAAAUUUUCUAGAAUAUUUUUAUAAGCAUUUGAAGUUAAGUUGAGUUGUGUGAAAAGGGAACGUAUAAUUUUCUGAUUACAUUACAAAUUGUUUCAAUUAAUACAUUUUAAUUGUAUUUAUACAUUUUAUUAGACUGGGCAAAUUACUGCUACACCUAUACAACCGGCACCUCCAAUGCCUCCUAGUCAACCAAUGCAACCAAUACAAACUCCUAUAAUGCCAUAUCAAAACCAGCAAUAUCAACCAAUCAACCAAUACAAUCAAUCCAGACCACCUUUGCCACUAACUAAUGAUCUGUCACAAGUAAUAAUAUUUAAAAAAAAAAAAAAAUUAUUAUAAUUAGCAGUUAAAUUAAGCAAGUUAAGAAUUUAAUAAAUAUAUAAAACAACUUAAAUAAGAAAAUUCAAUAGUCAAACUUAAAAUAGUUGAAAACAGAUAAUACAUUAUAAUAUUUCCUUGAUCUAAUGAUGACCAUAGCCUAUAGUAAAUUUAAGUACAGUUUAGGACUAUAGCAUACAUGAAUUUCAAUUUUUCACAAUGUAAGUAGGUACCAAUUUUAGAUUCUAAGCAGAGCAAAGAAGCUUAUGUUUUUUUUCAAAAAUAUAUAUAUUUUUUUUCUGUGGACAACUUUUCUACCAGUAAUUUUGUUCCAACUUUUAUUAAGGUAGCAAUUUUUCUAAGAGGAAAUUUCACUAGGGAUAUACUUUCAAAGGUUGUUUUUUCGAUUUUCCCUGGAGUUUUCUCAGCAAAUGUGAAAAGCUAUGAAAACCAGAGAAAUCAGUACAACAUUGAAAAAAUAUUAUUAAAGAAAAUAUAUAGAGCCUAUUCUAUUAUUUUAUUAUAAUAUAGCAUGUAUAUUGUUGACAAAGCAUCACUAUCAACUGAACUCCGCUUAUAAUCGCUUUUUCGUAAGCAAUGGUUUAACAUUGUUUAUAGGUAUACAUUAUAUUACUUAUAACCGUGGCUGCACCCUUCCUCAUUAUCCUUGGAUGUCUUUUUCAUAUUUAAUUGUAUACGUUAUAGCUAAAACGAAAAAAAAAUGUAGGCAUUAUAAUAUUGAAUAUUUGAAGUAUGGUUUCAUUCAAUAUCAAUCGCCUACAAAUAUUACAUUAGUUAUGUGCCUUAUUUGCCAAAAGUUUUUAUAAAUGCAGCUAUGAAACCGUUAAGACUGCAAAGUUCAUGCUAUUAAAAAAAAUAUGGAUAUUUGGUUUUCUCCUAGCAAAAAACCAGAUACAUUCAUCUCAUUAGGACACCCUUUUUUUUUACUUGUACAAUAUACAUUAUACAAUAUUAUAAUAAAACAUACUUAUAUUUUAUCAACAAUAAAUACAUUUUUUUCAUUUAUGUCGCUGAAAUCCUAUGCCAGACACCCUUUGAUGUUGAAUUUCAGAAAUCUGGCUUAGAGGUGCACAGGGACCCAUUUAUUUGGUUCUAUAUGUACAUUUUUAGACCUCUAGAUUCAAUUGUUUCAGCUGUAGAUUAUGCACAAAUAAAUAGACAGCCACUUCAUUUUAUUAAUAUAUAAGUUGAUUUUUUUUGUCAUAAACCAGCAAUUAUCUCUGAGUAUUUUAAGUAAAUCAACUUUCUGUUUUCUGUUUUUUCCUAAUCACUAUAGAAUCGUUCAAGUUUUGUUUUAAAACUGUUUUUUAUUUUUACCCCUACUCCAUAUACCUUAAAUACGUACACACUUUUUGAUUUUCAAAUAGGAACCCUCCCUCUUGAACACAGAUUUGAAUAGAGAAUAUUUUUCUAGAAAUAUUGAUAUACAUAACACUAAUAUCAGAUUUAUUGUUAUAACUCAUAAAGGUAAAUCUGAUAUAAGAAUUAUGUACAUCAACAUUUCUAGAAAAAUAUUCUCUAUUCAAAUCUGUGUUUAAAAGAGAGGUUUUUAUUUGAAAAUCAAAAGUCUGCACUUAUUAGUAGGGUAUGAGUAGGGGUAAAGUCAUUCCAUAAUGAUUAGAAAAAACAAAAAUCAAGUUUACUUAAAAAAUCUUCCAUGGUUCAUGAUAAAAAAAUCACUAUAGAAUAUACAUAUAUUUCAAAGCAAUAGUACAUAAUUAAUAAAUUAUUACACAAGUACUUAUAAUAUUAUUGUUCACAAAAUAAAUAAUAUACAUUUUUAUCAUUAGACUACCAUAAAAAAUGAAGUUGGUAUGAAACGAGGAUUAGAACCUGAAUUCGAGAAUAAUGAAAAAAAAUUGAAAACCGAUACAGCUACUAAAAAAAAUGAAAUUGAAUUAACUGAUGAAACUGAAGCUUUAUUCGAAGAACAGUUUAUAUCAUGGGAAGAACAAUUUGUUAAAUGGAAAGAACAAAAUAAAAAUCAUCCAGAUAAAGUAUAUUUUUCCAAUUUUAUAAUUUGUAUAAAUUUGUUUAUCAAUACACAUACUAAUUAAUAAUAAUAAUAUAAUCUGUUUUAUAUUAGGUUCAGUAUUUAGAGUAUGAGAAAAAAUGGUUAACCUGGCGUGAUCAUUUAAAACAAAAAUGUGAAAUGUUAAAAAAAAAGAGAGAGCUCAAAAUGGCUGAAAAAAAGGUGAAUUUUAAAUCAAUAAUCUAUUUUGAUUAUUCUCUGUUAAAACGUAAUUCCAAUUGACUAUAUGGUUAACAUUACAUUAAAUUAUUAAUUUCUUUUGAUUUUAUUAUUUAGAAGGAAACUAUUCAAAUUGAAGAAAAUAAACUACAAUCUCAGCAAAUAUUAGGUUAUAAUCCAUUGAUGCAAAAAACUCCUUCAUCAAUAAAUGAACUUACUCCAAUCACUUUUCAGCAUUUGGUAAUUAUUAAAAAAAAAUUACCAUAGUUUCUAAGUAUUUAUUAGUUUUAUGAUGGUGGUUUUUUUUCUGUUAACAAGUUUUUUACUAGAAAUCUUUCUUUAAUUGAAAAAUAACAAGAAAGCCUUUUUGUCUAGUUGGUACAUUAGAGAUGCCAUCUUUAGAUUCUGAGCAAAACACAAAAUGUAUUGGUUUUACAAUGGUGUUUUUUUUUCUUGUGAACAAUUUUUCUACUAAUUUUUUGCAUGGAUCUUCAUAUGUAAUACAUUUUCUUAAAACAAAUUUGGCUGAAGUGAUAUGUCAGAGCAGUCAUUUUUUGAUUUUCCCAGGGGUUUUCAUAAUAAAUGGAAAAAAUCAUGAAACAACAUAGAAAAAACAGAAAUAUUUACGAAAUGUUUUAUUAUAAAAUAGUAAAAAUUGCAGCUUUUCAAAAUAUGUAUAAUCAAAGUCAGGUCAGAAUUUUUUUUUUUGCUUAUACAUAUACAUUAAAUUCCUCUUUAUAUUCUACAUUCCCAACUUUUUACCUACAAUAGUAACCCAUCCAAUCCAUUGUGCGAAAUAUGUUCAUAUAUUUUUUUUCCUUUGGUUUUCUUAAUAAUUGGAUAUAUUUGAAAACAUCUACACAAUAGUGAAUAACAGAAACAUUUAUUUUUGAUUUUGUUGCCAUUCAGUUAAAAAUAAUUGUAAAUCUACUUAUUUGUAGCCAUUUGAAAUUUAUGUGGUUUUAUAUAAUUACAAAAUAUUAAAGCUUUUUAAAAAUAUUUAAAAGUUUGAAGCACAUUUUUCUUAUAGAACUUUAAAAAAUCAAAAAACUAGUCACAAAUUUGGUAAGGCAUAAAAUUAAAAUUUAUAUGAACAUAAUGAAAAUCAUUUUUAAACAUGUUUAACUAAACUUUAUUGAGAAUCGGUUUGUGUUAACAAUGAUUCAUCGUUCUGCACAUAUAUAAAUCAUAUAUAAAUUAAAUUACUCUGGCUGUUCGAUGAAGAUGUACCCCUUGAAUAUCUCCAGAGAUAAUAAAGAUAAUCAAAUUCUAUUUUUUUUUUUUUUUUUUUUUUUUUUUUAUAUAUAUACUCACAGAAAUGAGGAAUAAUUAUUUUAUAUUUGCAUUAAAUUUGUUUUGGUAAAAAACUUUAAAAAAAAAUAACUAUUUUAGGAAAAUGUUAAGUCAUUUGAUAGUCAUUCUGUAGUUUAUUUUUCUAAAAAAUUUUAAUGCAUUUAUAUUGCAUGAAUAGUUUUUAAGUAACAGCCAUUUUAAAUUCUACUAAUCCGUGUGAAAACCAAUGUUGUCUCUAGAGAAUGGACUUUAAUGCUCUAAAAAAUAAAAAAAAAGUUUUUAAAUUUAAUAAAUAAACCAAUAUUGAGCAGUUUUGUGUAUGCAUAAUAUUAUUAUAUAUAUAUAUUGGUUUGGUUAUUCCUUAGAUAACAUUGAUUUUCACACGGAUUAUUAGAAUUUAAAAUGGCUGUUACCUUAAAAACUAUUCAUCUAAUAUAAAUGUGUGAUACAUUAAUAAAAAUAUUCAGAAAAAUAAACUCUAAAUAAAAAAUUAUUUUAUAAAAAAAAUUCCAAAAACAAUAUUUCUAAUCCUCCCUGUGAGUAAUAUAUAUAUAAAAAAAAAAACAAAAUUUGAUUAUCUUAAUUAUAUCCAGAGAUAUUUAAGGGGUAUAUCUUCAUAGAGAAGAGCCAGUAUAUAUAUAAUACUAUAAUACUAUCCUACAAUAGAGGCAAUUCUAUCAUUAGUAUCGGCUCUUUACUUUAAACUUAAGUUAAGUAAAUUUUACACUUACUACAAAAUUAAUAUUUUAAAUUACAUAUCCAGCUCUUAUUGAAACUUAAAAUAUUUGAUAAGUUAAAUAAUUGAUGCAUAUACAAAUAAAGUAGGAUAAAAACUUUUGAAUCUAAUUUAUUUUUAACAGUAUUCAUUAAUUCAAUAUCUAAUACUCACGAUGGAUGGAUCACUGUUGUAAGUGAGAAGUUGGAAAGAUAAAGGAGAAAUUUAAUAUAUAUCUGUACGCUACAAUUAACCAUUGCCAACCAAAAAAAGAUUCUGAUCUAACCUAACGAUUCUGAGCAAUAUUUAGUUGAUAGUGUUGCUUUGUCAACAAUAUGUAUAUCAUAUUAUGGUAAAAUAAUUACAUAUGCAUUAUAUAUUUUCUUUAAUAAUAUUUGUUUAAUGUUGUACCUCUUUUUUCCGGUUUUGCCAUUUAUUAUGAAAACAGCUAGGAAAAUUAAAAAAUUAUCUGUCCAUUACCAUUUCAGUCAGAUUUCCUUCCUGAAAAAAAUGCUAUAAUUAAAAAUCCGAGUAAAAUUUCUGGUAUAAAAGUUGUUCACAGAUAAAAAAAAAAAACAUUGUAAAACCAAUACAUUCCUCAGAAUUUAAAAUGUAGUUUAGUGCUUUUUCAUCAAUCGCUUUCAAUUUGAAGGCUAGAUAAAUUAAGAGACGUGCUUAUACAUUUUGUAAAUAUCGCCCUGUUAGUCUAAAUUUUUUUUUACAAAUCUAACAUUUCAUUAAUAUGUCAAUAUUUUAUAUAAUAUUUAUUCAAAUAUGUAAUUUGAUUUUUAGCUCUAAUUAUUAGAUCAGUGAUUCUCAACCAAUAUUUCGCGACACACUAGUGUUGCACAAACUGGCUAUAAGUAUGUCGCGUACAUGCAUAUAGUAUUAUGUACCUUAUUAUUAUAAUGUUUAAUCAAAAUGUAUUGUUAUAAAAAAAAUGUGCUAUAAACAUAAAAACGUUGAGAACCAUUGCAUUAGAUAUUUGCAAACAAAAUCAUAUGUCCUAUUAUGAUUGACAGUCACGUCAAUUAUGAUUAAAAUUGUAUGUAAAUGAAUUUGCAUACACGUUAUUUUGUUUUGUUUUGUAGCAAAAUAAUAAUUCUUCCAUGGUAUCCUCACUUUCUAAAAAUCAUAUACCUGGUUUGGACCUAAUUACUAAUACUGAAUGCAAUACCAAAGGAUUUCUGAAUGUCUCAAAGAUUAUACCACAAAAUCAAACCGAACCGAUUCAAACACCUGACGACAAGCCAUUUAAUUUUCCCAAAAGCAAUACAACCUCUGCAAUUAUAAACCAACAACCAGUUAGUAUGCCUCUUAACAAUAUCCACCAAUCAACUACAUCCAUGUUUCAGAAUUCUUAUAGUUGGUCAAAGUUUAACAAUCCUGUAUCCUAUUAUGAUAAAAAUCCAGUGGAUGUGAAUGAUGCACCAUCAUCUAGAUUUGGUCAACAAAAUGAUAUUAAUGCUCGACCACCAUAUGAUGAAGAAAUAUCUAAUACUUCUUACAAUAGUUCUCAAAAUGCUACUAAUAAUAUGAACUAUAGAAGACCACUAGAAGGAUCAUAUAUUAAUAAACUGAUAAACGAAAGUAGUAGUACAAUGUACAAUAAGGGUCCAGAUGACCAACUUUAUAAUAGAAAUUUUAAUACACAAACUAGUAAUUUUCGAGGUUAUCAACCAAAUAUUUCCAAUAAUAAUAAUUUCAACAGAUCACCGGAAAACAUUCCAUAUCAACAUCAAAAACCAUUGAAUCUAACACAUUCGAAACCGCCUUCUUUGUUGAGUUUAAAUGUGGUUAAACCAAUUACACUAGGUAAGAAUUUAAAAUUACACUGUUUACAAAAUAUUUAUUUUUUAUAUUUCUGAACAUCAGAAUUUAUAAUAAAUUAUUAUUUAUUCUCAUAUAUUUUACCGACUGGUAUUAUUUUUGGUAUAUUAUUAUGAUUUUAUUUACCUGUUAGCAGAAAUUUUGACAAUUUAGAAAAUAAUAUCACUUUUGUAGUUUCUUGGGCAAUUACCCAAUAUAAUACUAAAGAACAUGGAGUUUACUUUGUGCAAAUAAUAUAGUAUUAUACUAAUUUACUAUUCUGUAUUAAUACAAAUACACGCCUUGUCCUAAUAUUAUCAAUCAUUAUUUUGUUACCGUAUUAUGUAUUGUCAAUUUUGCCAGUAACAUACCUACAACAUGACAUUUUAAAUUCCAUUAAUUUCAUAUUUUAGGUUCUGAUGGGAGCGAGGAAUAUAUAGGUUUUAUAGUGAUGUUUAUUUUAUUUUUGUAUUUUUUUCUGUGAAUAACUUAUCUACCAACAAUUUUAAGGGAGAUCAUUUUUUGAUUUUCCUAGGAGUUUUCAUAAUAAAUAGGAAAUACGGGAAAAUAUACAAAAUGUAUUAUUUUUAAAUUGUAAACUUUACAGCCUUUUAAAACAUCUAUAACCAAACUUCGCUCAGAAUUGUUUUUCGUAAACAAAUAUUAAUUAUUGCGUACAGAUAUAAAUUAAAUUCCCCUCAAUAUCCUACCUUCCCAACUUCUCACCUACAACAGUGACCCUCUCAUUGUAUGAAGAAUAUCCGUCAUUUUAAAUAUAAUUAUAUACAUUUACUUUUUAUUGUUUUAGAUAAACCUGGAAAUUACUUGGAAAAUAAGAACGAUUUACCAAAUAGGUAAUAAUUUUUAAUAGAUGUUUAAUAUGAGUUGGCGAUUAUUUGUAUUUUUCUAAAUUAUUAGGUAUGAAAGAAAUUGGAAUAUUGCUGAUGAUGAAGAAGAUCCGGAAAAUGAAUACAUGGAAGCACAUAAAAAAUUUAGUUCUGAACCAUUUGAUGAUCAAUAUGAUGAUCAAUUUUCAAACCAACAGCAUAGAAAUUCAUAUUAUGAUAAUGAUAAUUAUUCUAGAGGACAUCAGGGGCCUAGAGACUACAAUGAUGACUAUCCUAGAUCUUUGAAUCAAUCAAGUGGACCUCAAAUACCGAAGAAUAUGGACAUUGAAUACCCUAGACCGAAUUCUCAAUUCUCUAGAAAUGUUAACCAAAGUUACCCUCACGAUUUGCAAACACCAAAAAAGAAAGACAGUGAUUAUUAUAAAUCUACAAAUAAUAUUAAAAGUAUAGAUCAAGGAUUUUCCAGGGAAGUGCCUAAUUUAAGAGAUGUCAAUGGUGAGUAUUCUAAUGAAUCCACUGUUGAUAAAAACAAAUUUAUUUCACCAAAAGGGAACUAUGGACUUCCUCCAAGAAGAAAUUAUGAACCGUCUAGAAGUAAUUUUGGUAAUAAUUUAAAUAAGACAAAUAUAGAAUGGGAUAAUAAAGACUAUACACAAAAUGAGGCACCUCAACAGUCUGUAAAAGAUAUCAUAAUUCCACCUCUUGUUCAACAGCCAGCAAUUGAUUGCACACCAAUUGAUCCAGUAAAAAUAUUUGAUUAUCGUCAUUUACCCACAUUAAAAGUAAUUCCAGGUAAUAUUACAUUUGAAUUUUAUGAAAAAAUAAUUACUGUAAACUCUAAUUAUUUAAUAAUAACUUAGUAUUUAUAUUUAGGAAUAUCAAAAGAAACUGUGAUCCCAAUUAGAGUUUAUGAUUAUAAACAUGGAGGUAAACGUAUACUACCAUGGCAAGAUAGAGGUUUGUAUUAGAUUUUUAAUUCGCAGUAGGGCUGUUUAAAAUUAUUGUAAUAUGAGUAACAAUAUCCCUUGUGAUAAAAAAAAUUAUAAUUGUUUAAACUGACUAAGGAUCUAUAUUUUACUCAGGACCACAAUUUUGCUCAGUUUAACCUAGAUCAGGGAUCCACAACUAGAUGGGAGAAAUCUGAUGUGCACUUUGACAUCAUAGGCCAAAAUUGCUUAGGAAAACGUAGAUAGAUAAUUAGAUUUGGUUUUUCACUAUUAUUAGUUUUUGAGAACAAUACCUAAAUUAAACACCCUUCUAUUAUAUACUUUUUUCGUAAAAUUCAAUUUAAAACUAAUUUACUUUUAAAUUGUCAGUUAGUUUGGCCAUAAGAUGGAGACCCUUAAUCUAGGCAUGUCACUUCUGUAUUAUUAUUAUUAUUAUUAUUUGUUUUUAUAACAAUACUAUAGUGAACAAAAGUCAUUACAUUUAUUGUAAAUUAAAAAGAUUGGUGACAAUAUUCCAAAUUUGUUCAUAUUUUAUAACCACCUUAUGAUAUUACCACAAUUAUAACGAAUCGUUCGAUUUUCGAAAUGAAAAUUAUUUACUACUACUUCUGUGCAGUCACCAAUAUGAUUUUCUGUAGUAAAACAGAGCAACCUUGUUACAAAGAAGAAAAAUUCUCUGUCAUAAAUUCAUAAGUAAAAGGCAAAUUAUUUCAAAUACAUUUUUUAUAAAUUCUAUCAAUAUUUUAGAUUCUAGACUGGGUUUUAGGUUUAAAUUGAUUAAAAUAUACAGUUACUAAUUCCCUUAAAUUAAAAUGACAAAUGGUUUUAUUCAAAAUAAUAAAUUUGCUUUCGGUUAAUUAUAUGUACAGAUUGUUUCACAAAGAUUGUAAAAACUUUUAUUCUGUUCAAUAGUUUAACGAUUUUUCUUUUUUGUAUUAACUGACUAGAAUAUUUUUUUUUUUUUAAAAAAACACUUAAGAUAAAUUUAAACAUUUAUACUAAAAAAAUUGUUGAUUUAAGAAAUGUUUAUUGAUAAUGAGUUACAUUUUUUCCAUUUCAACUACCAAAUAAUUUCAUAUUUAAUGUUAAUGUAUAACUAUAAUAAAAUCCAAUUAUGAACCAAUGCAAUAACAAUAAUAGGUAAAGGUAAUAAAGAUGUAAUGUAGAAAAAUUAUUUUGGGUAAUUAGAUCUGGGCUAUUAUAAAGAAUGUAAUACCUCUUUAUUGAAUAUUUUUAAGUUUUUUUUUUUUUAAUGUUUAGAAAAACCUAACCUUUGAAAACUUCAACAAUUUUUAAAAAACUAAACGACUCAUCAUUAGUUAACAUUUGUAACAGUUAGACUUCUAACUCACUAGGCAGUCUGGCUGCAUCAGCCAUCCAUGGCCACUGAUAAGCAAUGGUUGAGUAUGCAAUAUGUGACUUGUAAUAAUUAGCCAGUUAGCUGCUGUGCAUUCGUGUACGUUCUGUUUGCUGCUACACCCACAAAUUAAUGGCUAUCUAGUGUGCAAGCUACAAUUAACCGCCAAAUGUCACAUUAGCUGUGUCAGCCAAGUUGCCUAGUGGUUUAGAAGCCUGCAAUUUUUUAAAAUAAAUGUAUUAAUUAACUAUUAUAUUUUGUAUAAAAAAGAAAUUAAAAAUAUUAAACAGAAUACAAGUUAGUGCAUUUGUUACAGUGAUAAUUGAUAUACUUAAAAUAAAAAAUAAUAUUUAAAUGAGUAGCCUGGUCACAAGAACCACUCUUUUAGGUUAGGACACCAUUUGAAAUGGGAUAAAUCAUUUGAAUAACCAUAUAAUAUAUCUAGGUUUGUUAAUUUAUACACAAAUUUCAGGUUUUAGUCGAAGAAAUUCAAAUCAUCCAAGAGAUUUAAAUGAAGAAGGUAAAUAAUUAUAACUAAAUGACAUUUAUAUACAAUGUGUAUUAUAUUUUAUAUAUGAGUUUAUUAUAUUUAAAAUGUAAAUGACUAUUAAAUUUAAUAAUAUUAUUUUCAAUUUUAAAUUGAAAUUAUGUAUAAUAAUAAUAUUUUUAAUUUUUUUUAAGACAACAUUAAUGAUCAAGAUAAAAAUAAAGAAACAUCAACUAAGAAGCCAACAUCAUUUGGGUCACAAGGUAGUUUAUUUUAAAUUAAAGUUGAGAAUAAAUAAAUUAUCAAGCAUAUAAUUAUUAUAUAAUAUUUAGAUAAUUCAUCAGACAUUAAAGAUUUUGAUUUUAAAAAUAAAGCCAAAGAAACUAAAAUGAUUGAAGAAACUACUAUUUUCGAAAUUAAAGAUGACAAAUUUAAAGAAGAUACAUCUAUUCCAGUAGACACUAUUACUAUUAUUGACGAUGAUGAUGUUGAAGAGGAGGAUGUGAUGAUUAUUGAUAAUUUAGAAAAAAGAGAAUUACUACAGUCUGGCAACAAAACAAAUAAUUCCCAUGUCCAUGUGCCAUCUCCACCUAAAAUGUUGCACAAUAUGGAAGUCGAAAAAUCACCUGCUAGAAAAUUGUUAUCUAUUGAUACAUUACUAAGUCCACCUGGUCGGCUUAAUAGACCGGCCAAAAUAGUUAUAAUAAUGAGAGGAUUACCUGGUUCAGGAAAAUCCUACGUUGCGAAGUUAAUCAAAGUUAGUAUAAUAUUAUACAUUUGUAUAUUAUAUUAUAUCAGUGCUUGAAUGAAUAUUGGUAAAAGUAACAAAUAUGUAUGUAUAAUAAGUGUAUGUUUCUGUAGACUUAUUUGAAUUAUUUAAACAAACUAGAUGAGAUAUGAAAUAGUUAAGAAAAAAAGGUAUUCAGUCUUCUCGCAUCUGUCAAUUCAAGUACUGAUUAAUAUUACAUUUUAUUGAGUUAUCUACAUUGUAAUAAAUUUCAUUAGGAGAAAGAAGUAGCAAUGGGUGGACAAGCUCCUAGAGUAUUAUCAUUAGAUGAUUAUUUUAUGACAGAAAUAACUAAGACUGAAAUUAAUCCUGAGACCAAUAAAACAGUGGAAAAAAAGGUAAUAUUGUUUAUAUUGUUAUUCUUGUUUAAACCCAUUAAUAUCUAAAAAAUAUUUAAUUUUCUUACAUUAUCUUACAGGCUAAUUAAAACAUGAAAUGUGGUUGUUAGGUCAAAUACACAUACAUGUUAAAAUUAAAUCAAAAUAAUGUAAUAUUUUUAAUUUUAAUAAUUUAUUUUUAUCUCAGUAAUAUUGUGAUAAAAUGGUUUUACAAUACAUAUUUUUAUAUCACUUGAAAGAUUGGGGUUUCCAUUGCAUUGCGACCCUAACUGUUUUGAUGUUUCCUUGUCAUUAUGUAAUUAUAGUGUCCUUUAUACUUUAACAAAGUCUGUUACUGGUGUAGGUUUUACCAAUAUUUUACUAAUUUUUUUUCUAUCUCGUUUGCCGAUUUCCCAUUGCUUUAUCUAUAGUAGUAGAUCCACAUAUUUUCCUCUAUGCUGUGUUCUCAAAAUGUAUCAAUCUUAAUUCUACUGUUUGGUUAUUGUUUAAGUGUCACGUCUAUGAAUGAAAGUUGUUUCUACUUUGUUUAUAGUUGUCCUAGAUUAGCGGGCAUAGGAUUAAGGAUCAUAAGGGCACCAGAUACACACACCAACAUAAUAUAGCAACCAAACAAACUCUCAUAUAUUUUAACAAUAAAUAAAUACAAUAACAAUUAUAAGUAUCUUAUUGAAACUAUCAAUGAGACCAGUGAUUUUCAACCUGGGGGUUAUGACCGACUAAGGGGUUGCGAAAAAUUAUGGUAUCAUGUAUACCAGCGUUUCCCAACCUUUUUCCCUCGCGGCACACUAAUCCCAACCCAUAUUUAGCCGCGGCACACUUGUCACUUAGUUAUUUAUGUAUACAAAUUUUUUUAUACUAGACUUUCAUCAUAUUAAUUAUUAAUACCAAAAUAGUUGUAUAUCAGUAUAAUAUUUCUAGCAAACAUUUUAAAAUGGUAGGAUAGAAAAAAAUAUUAUUACAAUUAUCCUAAAUAUUUAAUUUAUUGAAAUGGAAAAACAAGAUACAUUACAAUUUUUAUAAAAAACCUAAUCUUAGUGAGAAAUUUGGGACUGUUUUCUCUUCAUUAUUAGGUUCCUUCGUGGUCGAAUGGUUGAUAAGCACACCCUCAUGUCGUCUUCCAAGUUCUUCAGUUUUGAUGGCAUUCAUUGAAGAGAAUGCUCACUAUUCAUAGCAGAACACAUUGAUUAAAUAAUCUUGAUUUCAAAGGUUUACUUUUAAUGAAGUUUACCAUUUUGACAACAGUUUGCAAUACUUCAUUGAGCUCAGGCAUCAAAGAUUUAGCAACGAGAGCUUCUCUAUAUAUGAAGCAGUGAGUGAAAAUAAUAUCCAGGUUUUCUUUCUUAACUAAUGCCAAAAAACCUGUUAAAUGACCAAUCAUUGAAGGGCACCCAUCUGUACAAACACUCAAACAAAAUUUCCAUGAUAUAUUGGCAGUGGUAAAAUAAUUGUUAACCAAAUUAAAAAUAUCUUGUCCUUUUGUAGUUUCAGGAAGGUCUUUACAAAAUAAAAAUUGUUCUAUCAACUCAUUAUCGCAUAUAAAUUUUACGAAUGUCAUGACCUGAGGUUUUCCGGUUACAUCUGUAGACUCAUCUAAUUGAAGGGCAAACAAUUCAGCUGCUUUCAGUUUUUCAUUCACGNUCACCAAACAAAAUUUUAAAGAUUUCACAGCAUGCUGGUAAAAUGGUUGACUCGGCUGUUGUGUGAGAUUUCAUUUUUUUUGCUAUCAGUUCCACGACAGCAUAGCUAGCUUCCUGUGCCUUAUCUGAUACAGUUGAGUGUUUUAUAAACUUUAAAGCCUGUCUGUUUUGAUCUGAGGCUAACCUUUUGAAAAAAUCUAGAGGCUUUUCAGACGCAAAACCAUGUUUUGUAAGCAGGUGCCUUUUCAGCUUACUUGGUACAAUACUUUCAUUAGAUAAUUUUUCAAUACACAUGAGGCAUUGAGGUAUACUAGGUAUAGGCAUUUCUCCACCACUCGACGUGAAAUCAAAUGAUAAAAAGCUUUCGUGAUAUUGUCGAAUAUAAUUUUUUGAUCGUACGUUAGCAUUUUUACUCGCACUCACCUCAACAUUAGGAGGAUUGAAACUAGGACCAGGCAAUUCCUCAACAUCAACUCUAUGAGCACUAUUAGGAUCAGGCAAUUCUUCGCUUAAUUUACGUUUCCUAAUUAAAAAAUGAUCCAUCGUGCGCUACACGUAGUACGAAUGAUAAUCGUAAAGCGAAAAGAAAAAAUUUCCGUUAAAGUAUAACACGGUAAUAAUAAAUGUACUUCAUACGACGACAAACGACUAACUGACAUUUUAACAUUUUAAAUGAAUUAAUAAGAAAUAGUGAACAAUAAGAUAAGAUUCUCCCCGAUAAGAGAAUCGUUAAAACUAUUUUAACCAAUUACUGAAAUUUUACGGAAACUUUUAUUAAUAGUCAUGGCAUUUCGCGGCACACCGGUUGGGAAACCCUGAUGUAUACUGUACAUUAUAUUAUUCAAAUUCUGUUAAACAGUUUUUGAAGAGAUUAUCAAAGAUGUAAACAAAAAAAUUUGGGAUUCGUAAAAGUUUGAAAACUACUAGACUAGGCGUUAAUAUCUAAAUAUUCGAUUGUUUGGUUUUAAACCAGUCUAAAAGUAAAAACUUAUAGAUCUUGCUCAUCACUACUAUCAAGGUCAUGGGGUACUUGAGUCUGCAUCUGAUAUUCUGAUUCUUCAGCUUUCCUGUUCAGCAGUUUAUGCACCAGCCAACAUGGUACACUUGCAUGAAUUUGUGCACUGCUUCCCUCAUACUAUGCCAGAAGAAACACUACUUUAUUAUUGUACUUUACCUACUCUUGAUGGUUUCUUCAUGGUUGUGAAAUCUCCAUACUGAAGAGUUUACUUAUUUUCUCCAGUAUAUUCAGAUCAUUCUAUUGAUUGAAACCUUCAUAUAUCUGCCCGAAAAUGCAUUCUGUUGUCCUUGAAUGUCCUUGUAUAGAUAUGAUCCAAAACAAUUGUGGCCUUACAGUGCCAGAGUUAAAUGUUGGCUCCCCAGUUCAUAGCUUCAUCGAAAUAUUACUUAGUACUGUAUAAAUCUAAAUUUCUUACAGUGAACCACUUUAAUAUGUAAUCAUAUAAUGUCAUACAAUAUUAUAUAAAUUGUCUUGUCUAUAUAAUCAUUAAAUAAUAUUUUGUUUUACUUAGCAUUUUUAUUUAAAUAAAUGUAAUACUAUUAAAAAAUUUAAAGAUAAAAUAUUUGAUACCGAGGAAGAAGGACAUAGGUUAAUUUUAUACAGUUUUAAAUACAAGCAAAUUAAAUUUAAAGUAUAUACACUUAUGCUACUUAACCAAAAAAAAUUACAGAGGAAAAAUUGUCUGAAGUCCUUUUGCCCUAAAAAUGUAUUUAUUUUUUUUUUUCGUAACAUUAUUUUGUGUACUUUAUUGUUUAAGGUUAUGGAAUAUGAAUAUGAUUCUGCUAAUGAAAGUUUAUACCGUACAUCCUUUAUAAAAGCAUUUAAGAAAAAAGUGGUCGAAAAUUUUUUUUCAUUUUUUAUUAUUGAUGCUAUAAAUAAUAAAGUUACAUAUUAUAAAGAUAUACUUGAUAUUUCUAGAAUCAAUGGAUUUACUGUAAGUGUUAUUGAGUCUUUGUGCUAUAUUGUAUGUUUAAAUAUCUUGAUAUAUAUA